AUGAUGCAACAAAUCUGGUCCAUUGAUCAAGCACAAGCUCUAGCCCUGAAGGCUCGGAGGUUUGUAAGGAUGAGAAAGACAACUAAGGCUCCAUAUCCUCCAUAUACCCAUACCGAAGGCUCAUCUAGGAGCCAACCUAAUAUAGUGGAAGAAAAGACCGCUCCACCAAAGGCAAAACAACCCAUCCCAAAGCAAACUAGAGGCAAGGGUAAGGCAAAUGAAGGCCCAAAGUGCUAUAAAUGUGGUAAAGAGGGACACAUAUCCAGCGGCUGCCCACUGAGAAAAUUUCUUAACACCAUUAUCCAUGAUGGUGAAGACGAUGAGGAAGAAUACGAAUAUGAAGAUGUAGAGGGACAAGAGGUUUGCCAAGAAGAAGGUGAAGAGGUGGUAUGUGUGAUUUAG
This 402-nucleotide ribosomal RNA is filed under the name Triticum aestivum (bread wheat). RNAcentral's name for it is "partial small subunit ribosomal RNA". Lineage: Eukaryota; Viridiplantae; Streptophyta; Magnoliopsida; Poales; Poaceae. The record is from RNAcentral.